RNAcentral lists this ribosomal RNA (465 nucleotides) under Vreelandella stevensii. RNAcentral's name for it is "partial 16S ribosomal RNA". It matches the Rfam family "Bacterial small subunit ribosomal RNA", at positions 338 to 795 of the family's 1533-position model. Lineage: Bacteria; Pseudomonadati; Pseudomonadota; Gammaproteobacteria; Oceanospirillales; Halomonadaceae. The record is from RNAcentral.
CCUACGGGCGGCAGCAGUGGGGAAUAUUGGACAAUGGGCGAAAGCCUGAUCCAGCCAUGCCGCGUGUGUGAAGAAGGCCUUCGGGUUGUAAAGCACUUUCAGUGGGGAAGAAAGCCUUGGGGCUAAUACCCUCGAGGAAGGACAUCACCCACAGAAGAAGCACCGGCUAACUCCGUGCCAGCAGCCGCGGUAAUACGGAGGGUGCGAGCGUUAAUCGGAAUUACUGGGCGUAAAGCGCGCGUAGGCGGUCUGAUAAGCCGGUUGUGAAAGCCCCGGGCUCAACCUGGGAACGGCAUCCGGGAUGGUCAGGCGAAGUGGAAGGAGAGGAGGGUAGAAUCCCCGGGGUGGCGGGGAAUUGGGUAGAGAGGGGGAGGAAAACCAGUGGGGAAGGGGGCCUUCAGGACUGACACUGCCGCUGAGGUGCGAAAGCGUGGGUAGAAAACAGGAUUAGAUACCCCUGUAGUC